RNAcentral lists this ribosomal RNA (758 nucleotides) under uncultured bacterium. RNAcentral describes it as "bacterial SSU rRNA". It matches the Rfam family "Bacterial small subunit ribosomal RNA", at positions 8 to 796 of the family's 1533-position model. The record is from RNAcentral.
AGAGUUUGAUCAUGGCUCAGGAUAAACGCUGGCGGCGUGCCUAACACAUGCAAGUCGAACGCGGAUUGAGCAAUCAAUCCGAGUGGCGGACGGGUGAGGAACACGUGGGUUAUCUACCUUGAGGUGAGGAAUACCGGCGAGAAAUCGCCGACAAUACCGCAUGGCCUCGGAAACGAGGAAAGCUGAGCGAUCGGCGCCCCAAGAUGAGCCUGCGCCCGAUUAGCUUCGUUGGUGGGGUAAAAGCCUACCAAGGCGACAAUCGGUAGCUGGUCUGAGAGGACGAUCAGCCACACUGGGAUUGAGAACGGCCCAGACUCCUGCGGGGGGCAGCAGUGAGGAAUUUUCGUCAAUGGGGGCAACCCUGAACGAGCAACGCCGCGUGCAGGAAGAAGGUUUUCGGAUCGUAAACUGCUUUUCUUGGGGACGAGUACGGACGGUACCCAAGGAAUAAGCCCCGGCUAACUACGUGCCAGCAGCCGCGGUAAUACGUAGGGGGCAAGCGUUGUCCGGAUUUAUUGGGCGUAAAGCGCACGCAGGCGGUCUUUUACGUUUUGAGUGACAGGUGGUGGCUUAACUGCCACAGGACUCAGAAUACGGGAAGACUUGAGGACUUCAGAGGGAUGCGGAAUUCCAGGUGGAGCGGUGAAAUGCGUAGAGAUCUGGAAGAACACCAAAGGCGAAGGCAGCAUCCUGGGAAGCCACUGACGCUGAUGUGCGAAAGCUAGGGGAGCGAACGGGAUUAGAUACCCUAGUAGUCC